UACGUAGGGGGCAAGCGUUGUCCGGAAUCAUUGGGCGUAAAGCGCGUGUAGGCGGCCAUCCAAGUCUGAUGUGAAAGCUCGGGGCUCAACCCCGAGUCUGCAUUGGAAACUGUAUGGCUUGAGUCCGGAAGAGGAGACUGGAAUUCCUGGUGUAGCGGUGAAAUGCGCAGAUAUCAGGAAGAACACCGGUGGCGAAGGCGGGUCUCUGGGACGGUACUGACGCUGAGACGCGAAAGCGUGGGGAGCAAACAGGAUUAGAUACCCUGGUAGUCCACGCCGUAAACGAUGGGCACUAGGUGUGGGAGGUGUCGACUCCUUCCGUGCCGUAGCUAACGCAUUAAGUGCCCCGCCUGGGGAGUACGGCCGCAAGGCUAAA
Molecule: ribosomal RNA, 376 nt
Filed under: uncultured bacterium
Lineage: Bacteria
Description: bacterial SSU rRNA
Rfam family: Bacterial small subunit ribosomal RNA
Source: RNAcentral